Molecule: long non-coding RNA, 912 nt
Filed under: Felis catus (domestic cat)
Lineage: Eukaryota; Metazoa; Chordata; Mammalia; Carnivora; Felidae
Description: lncRNA (ENSFCAG00000046958.1)
Source: RNAcentral
GUGAGCUUAUGUUCAACAAGAGUUCAUUUUGUGUUUGUGUUACACAUGUAUGGGGUAUGGAAGCAUACCUAUGGCACUCUUCAAGGUUCCAGACCACUAUUUAUUUUAGUUUCUGUUCCAGGCAGAUGUCCUGGAUCUAAUCCAGGAUUUAACUGAUUCAAGGUUGUUGGGUCCAGUGGAAACCUUGAGACCCCUCCUCCCUGGCUGGCUCUGAAGUCCAAUAUUUGUCUUCUUGGCAUGGCAGAGAAUAUGUAGAGAAGUUCAGAGAAGAACAAUCCAAUCAACACUGAAAGAAUACUUAUGACAUUUCCUCAGUGUAAUGGCCCUCAGGGAAACUGCAUUCUAGAGGAGAGUAAAGAAGGUCAUAAAGAGAAGAAAGAGCCAGGAAAGAGUCGAAAUACAUGUUUGCAGGUAUCAGUAAAAUUGCUCCUGUGGGCUAAAGACGGGGGGAGGGUUAACAGGGAAAAGGUCAUAAGGAUCACUCCGGAUGCGCCAUUCUGAAAUGUUCUGUUGGAAUUGACUGUGGUGUACAGUGUCCCAAAGAGUGAGAGAAGCAAAAGACAGAGGGCUGGGCCUCUAUGGAGAGUCUAUCAAAAAUAGAGUAGAUAUCACCACAUCUGACUACGAUGCUGCCGAUGGAGCACCUUGGUGUGAGUCAGAAGCAAUGAGAUUCUCAUACUGUACAAAAUGGGAAUGGAAAGGCAGUUCAGAGAAGAGGCAGAAUAGGUAAAACCGUUGCAAUAACUUAAAUAGCACAGAAAAGUUUUGAACGACAAUUAAUUAUACAUGAUACAGCUGAAGAGGCAUACAACACAACUAAGAUAAUCCUUAUUGCUUUUUUUAAAAAUACAUGCACGUGAUUAGAAAAAUUGUCCUGAAAGGAAUAAAGUUCACCCUUUCAACUUUUGUUCA